GGGGGGGGGGGGGGGGGGGGGGGGGGGGGGGGGGGCGGGCGGGGGGGCGCGUGUGGGGGUGCUCGGGUGGCGGGCGGGUGGGUGGCACGUGAGUAGCCUGCCCUUGACUUCGGUGUGCCUUCCGGAGACUUGGGCUACUACCGUCUAGGAAUCCUUUCUGCCUGUUUGUGGUUGGCCAGCUUCGGCGGGUUUGGCUGGACUCGCGGCUUAUCCGCUUGUUGGUGGGGUAGUGGCUUCCCCAGGCUUUGACGGGUAGCCGGCCUGCGAGGGCGACCGGCCACAUUGGGACUGAGAUACGGCCCAGACUCCGACGGGAGGCAGCAGUGGGGAAUAUUGCACAAUGGGCGGAAGCAUGAUGCAGCAACGCCGCGUGCGGGAUGACGGCCUUCGGGUUGUAAACCGCUUGCAGCAGGGGCGAAGCUUGUGGUGACGGUACCUGCAGAAGAAGCAACGGCUAACUACGUG
Molecule: ribosomal RNA, 465 nt
Filed under: uncultured bacterium
Lineage: Bacteria
Description: partial 16S ribosomal RNA
Rfam family: Bacterial small subunit ribosomal RNA
Source: RNAcentral